UUUCGACAGAGCGGCCCCCCCCUCCCGUCUUCACCGACACAUGACGGCAGCAGCGAGCGGCUUCCGGAGCCGCUCCGCCCCCCCCACCUCCACCACCUGCAGUACCGCCGUUCGGACGCACGGUGGCAGCACACGCUCCCUUUUUCGGUGCCGCAGGGGAAACGGGCUCCGGAGCUGCUGCUCCGCGCCCGGCUUCAGUCCUCCGUGGAAUGCUCCUCGGAGCGGUGCUUUUGGUUUUGCAAACGCCGCAGGCAUCACCUGCACACACAGAGCUCCUGCCCUCGCUUGGCCACCUGAAAUUCAGAGGGAGCUCUGCACACGGCCUCUCCGGUGCCCGAUCUCUGGAUCUCUCUCUAAGAGAUGGGGCUGUUCUCUGGAUAAAGCACGCCGGGGUUUGCUCUGUUGAAGAGCCCUUUUCUCCCUGGAUCUCCUCCUGGGCUGCAGCCAUCAGCCAAAACGGAAAGCACUGCUCAUCCUACCUCUUUUACCCCAGCUUUGGAGUCUUGCGGCGUUUUGUGCUGUUGUGCUGGGAUGUUUGCCGUAAUGGAAUCAGCUGAGUGCGGAGCAUCAGGACCUCUCAAGGCUUCCCAGCAGCUCCCACCCGUAAGCACCAAAGAGUCCUCCUCAGCCUCGGGUCUGAGUCAGCUCCCCGGGCAUGGGGCAUUCUGUGCUGCAGGGAACAGAGCGUGCGGGCGACACGGGUCCUGCAUGGACACCUCGUUGCUGCUCUCGUCUGCGUGCGAUCAUCCAGGGUGAGACCAGGGGACAUACUAGGAAGACUGCUUGGGAUGCCUUCCGUCUUCUCCCUGCGUACCAGGAACUCUGUCAUCUGACGCUCCUCCAGAUGGACCUCCUUUCCAGCUGAACUCAAUCACCACUGCACUGAUUUCAGGCCUUGUCCACCUAGGAGUCACAAACGUUUUCUUUUUCGUAUGUUCCUUAACUCUUCUGUGCAGAAAGUGGCAUGACAGUUCAGUCUUGAGUGGCAUCUGAAACGCAGGUUUCA
Molecule: long non-coding RNA, 1006 nt
Organism: Melopsittacus undulatus (budgerigar)
Lineage: Eukaryota; Metazoa; Chordata; Aves; Psittaciformes; Psittaculidae
Exons: 5
Source: RefSeq, a predicted model, not a curated record